This 74-nucleotide transfer RNA is filed under the name Deltaproteobacteria bacterium. RNAcentral describes it as "tRNA-Met". It matches the Rfam family "tRNA". Rfam says of the family: Transfer RNA (tRNA) molecules are approximately 80 nucleotides in length. Lineage: Bacteria; Pseudomonadati; Myxococcota; Myxococcia. The record is from RNAcentral.
GGCUGGGUAGCUCAGUUGGUCAGAGCAUACGGUUCAUACCCGUAGUGUCGGCGGUUCAAGUCCGCCCCUAGCCA